CGACGUGAGUAACCUGCCUUGGAGUGGGGAAUAACACAGUGAAAAUUGUGCUAAUACCGCAUAAUGCAUUUGGAUCGCAUGGUUCUGAAUGCCAAAGAUUUAUCGCUCUGAGAUGGACUCGCGUCCGAUUAGCUAGUUGGUGAGGUAACGGCCCACCAAGGCGACGAUCGGUAGCCGGACUGAGAGGUUGAACGGCCACAUUGGGACUGAGACACGGCCCAG
Molecule: ribosomal RNA, 222 nt
Filed under: uncultured bacterium
Lineage: Bacteria
Description: partial 16S ribosomal RNA
Rfam family: Bacterial small subunit ribosomal RNA
Source: RNAcentral